GAGAGAGAGAGAGAGAGAGAGAGAGAGAGAGAGAGAGAGAGAGGGCUCUCUGGGGGAAAACACAUCCAAUCAAGCGGCUGCCUUCUGAUUUAAUCUUAUUCAUUUGGGAAUAUCGAUCCGUGUCGAUCAGUAAGGAUACUUUUUAUUUUUUUGAGGAAACUUUUCUGCAUCAUCAUCAUCCUCCGACACGAGGACGCGCUCGACUUUCUUUCUUCUUCUUUUGUUCUUCCUUUGUCGGAUAAAACGCCAAUAACGCGGCUGACUUCUCAUAAGUGGUGACAAGUCGUCUCGGGGCUCGGAUGUGCGACCGGGGCACGCGGUGUCCCUUCAACAGAGGCGAGCUGCGCGAGGAAUACAAAUGACAACGCGCAGAAUGAGUCAAGCUGCCCGCCGCCGUGGAGCCUCGAACCUGAACGUUUAGCGUCGUCUCGUACGCUGCUGUCCCAUUCCGGCUUCGAAGAGGAGUCAAAGAAAUACCGUAAAGUGUGUCGUGUGGUCUGCCACCGCAACCAUAGGCCGAGGGAUGACCGUCAAGCUGGACUUUGAGGAGUGUUUGAAAGACUCUCCUCGCUUCAGAGCUGAAAUCGAAGUGGUCCAAAGCGAUGUGAGUGAACUCGAGACACGACUAGAAAAGCUUGUGAAACAAUGCCAUGCCAUGCUGGAGGCAGGCAGAGUCUACUGCCAGACCAGCAAGAGCUUUGUGAAUGGCCUCCGGGAUCUGGGGCAGCACUGCUCUGGGGACAAGACGAUGGAGGAGUGUUUGGACAAAUUUUCCAUAAAGCUGUCUAUCAUCUUGGAGGCUCAGGGGGAUGUGAUUGAGACCACACAGAAGUCCGUCAAGACGAAGCUGCAGAACUUUGUCAAAGAAGAUGUGCGUCGUUUCAAGGACGUGCGCAAGGAGUUUGAGCGCGGCAGCGAAUGCCUGGAGGGGGCGCUGAUGAGGAACGCUCAGGCCCCGCGGGGGAAGCAACACGAAGUGGAGGAGGCGAGCAACGCUCUGCUCAACGCUCGCAGGACCUUUCGGUCUGAGGCCCUGGAUUACGUGCUGGAGAUUAACGUCAUUGAGGCCAAGAAGAAGACAGACAUCCUGAUGGCAAUGUUGUCACUGAUGGAGGCCCAGGCACAGCUCUUCCAACAUGGCCACCAGUCUCUCUCCGAACUGGAUGAGUAUCGACGGAAGUUGAACGAAGAGCACACUCAGUUUGUCCUAAAUUCUGCCCGAGAGAAGAGAGACAUGGAGCAAAGACAUGCUGCAAUAAAGAAAAAGGACGUGUCCUAUGAUGACUCGAUCAUGGAUUUCAACGCUGCCUCAACGAAUGGGAUUGCCAUGGAGGGAUACCUCUACAAGAGAGCCAGCAACGCCUUCAAGACCUGGAGCAGGCGUUGGUUUUCGAUUCAGAAAAGUCAGCUGGUGUAUCAGAAGAGAUUCAAGGACCAGCCGACAGCUGUGGUGGAGGACUUGCGUCUCUGCACAGUGAAGCCCAGCGCUGAAAACGAGAGGCGCUUCUGCUUUGAAGUGGUCUCCCCGUCAAAGUGUUGUUUGUUGCAGGCCGACUCCGAGAGGCAGCAGCAGGCGUGGAUCAGUGCCGUCCAAAACAGCAUCGCCUCAGCCUUUCAGGAGCACAGAGACGAUUCACACAGCCCAAGACAGCGCUGCAGCUCGGUGUCUCUGAACAGUUUGGGAGGAGGGGGAGGAGGAGGAGUGGAUCAGGAUAACAAGGGCUGCAAGGCCUUGGAGGAGGUCCAGGCAAUCCCGGGUAACAAGAACUGCUGCGACUGUGGGGAGCCUGGUCCUGAUUGGGCCUCUAUCAACCUGGGCAUCACGCUUUGUAUCGUCUGCUCAGGAAUACACAGGAGCCUGGGAGUCCAUUUCUCCAAAGUACGCUCCCUCACUCUCGACUCCUGGGAGCCAGAGCUCAUUAAGUUGAUGUGUGAAUUAGGAAACACAGUAAUCAACAGGAUCUACGAGGCUCGGAUUGAUGAGCUCACCAUCAAGAAGCCCCACCCCUCCAGUCCCAGAGGAGACAAGGAGUCGUGGAUCCGAUCAAAGUACGUUGAAAAGAAGUUCACCCAUAAGCUGCCCGAGACCGGCAGGAACCCGCUGCUGAGGCGAGCCAGCGGCAGGAGGAACCGAACCGACACGCAGGACCAGGCCGUCCAGCGGCCGCCGCUCAAACCCAAGCCGAACCGAGCCACUCUGCCUCGGGUCACAGGGCUGAGCCCCAGUGACCUUGUCCAAAAGAACAAUGCACACAAAGACGUUGACGAAGAGGAAGAGGAUCUGAGCGGACUGCACCCCGGGGCGUUGUUGUACCGCUCGGCAGCCCUGCAGAACUUCCCCGUCAUGGCGGACGCUUUGGCCCACGGCGCCAGCGUCAACUGGGUCAACGCGGCCGAGGAGUCCAGCACGCCGCUGAUACAGGCGGUUUCAGCGAAUGCGCUGGCAGCCUGCGAGUUCCUGCUGCAGAACAGUGCCAACGUCAACCAGACAGACAGCAAUGGAAGAGGACCGCUUCACCACGCCACCAUCCUGGGUCACACCGGGCUGGUUUGUCUCUUCUUGAAGCGAGGAGCCGACUACAACGCCAAAGACAAGACUCACAAAGACCCCAUCACUAUUGCCGUGGACACCGCCAACGCUGACAUCGUCACUUUGCUGCGCAUCGCCAAAAUGAACAAGGAGAUGCGGGAGAUGGACGGAGCGUUUGGCCAAUCAGGUCAAUCGGGGGGGCAGGGGUCUGGGGGUUUAGUAGUUGUGGCAGGAGGAGGGCGGGCCCACACCAGGAAGAGCCUCCUGGCUCUCAAGAACCACAUAAGUGGCUGGGCUCUGGGGGGUCAAAAUGAUUAGUGGGGGUAGAAAUCAGCCCGGGACAAGAGACAGGCAGCGAGACUGGAAUGAGCCUGUUUUUGGUUGUAAGCUAGAAGUGUUUUUGUUUGUUUUUUGUCAAGUCGUUCAGCAUCAGGAAUCACUGGUUCUGCAGUGGGACAGUCUCGAGGUCACGAGUGAGAACCGAUUUGAUUACAUCAGUGAAGACAGGAAAAUGUCAUGUGGAACUAAAGUUCACAUUGCACUUUGAAUAACUAACGCACAUCAUCCUGCACUUUGAAACACACACACACACACACACACACACACAAUCUCCGCGUCAAUACAGAGUGCUGCAUGCGGGCGUUUCCAAUGUUGUAUGACAGAGGUUUAUUUGUAUGACAGACUUACAUCAGGCCUGUGUUUUUUUUUUUAAUAAUGUAUAUUUGUGAUAUUGUUUUAUACAUAGUGUGUACAGUGUUCGGGCUCCAGAUAGUUUUUAUUGUGUUUAUGUGUACUGGCCAUGUUGUUUUUCCCGUCCAGUUAUGUAAGCUAAAUGCAAUGUCUGGUUUGGUCCUCAGGGACGAUUUUAUCCCGCUAUUCUGUGAAUAGUUUGAACUCUGUUUAUAUAUUACGUGUUUGAAUUCAUCAGAAUUUCAAGAGCUUUGUGCUGCAGAUCUCGAGCUUAAGGUUAACGGCGGGUUGUGUUUGCAUUUUGUCAUUUGGCUCCUUUUCAAGCUACAAAGUCCAUUCUUUCAUGAUUGUCCCUAAGUGGCUCUUUGUCUUUUUAAGUUCUUGUGUAAGCUGUUUUUCUAUCACGGUUUCACUCAUGAAGGAAUGGAAACGUGAUGCUUUUUGUCUGCUUGAAACAACUGCUGGUCAGUAUUUGACGUGCUUUAUCACUGUGUGUCUUUUGUUGUGUGCACUCAUGUGCCUUUUGCCUUCUGCCCGCUGAGAUGUCCAGCUGCUCUCAACUGCUUGUGCAGUGUGCCACCUACUGCAAACUAAGAGGUGAUGAAACCUACCACGACAUCUUCAGAGACUUUUCACACAUGGCCUCAAACAACCCAGAGAAGCUCAAGCGCCGCAGUGCCGACCCCAAAACCUAACCAGCCCCCCCCCUCCUUGCAUACCUUCAACCGCGUAUAUAGACAGCGUGCUCGUAUCCAACACACGGGCACGCACACGCACACAUUUGCCCUGGCUACCUGCCACGUGUUCGGUCAUAGCUCAGCUGGUGUUGACUUCAGAGGGGAACGAACGCUCCAAACAGUGAAUUCUUUGUGCGAACGUGUCAGACCAGAACAAUUGUGUCCAAGUGGGAACACUGUGGCAGAGUCAUGAGAGCAGCAUGCGGCGUCUCUAUGUGCAGCAGAGGGUAACAUCACUUUGCCGAGAUUUCUUAAUUAAAUGUGGUGAAUCUGUUGAGGAUUUUUUUAUUUUUUAAACUAAAAAGGGCAGUUUCAUUUUUGGAAAUGGACAUAAUUGUGGCAAAGAUUAAUUGAACUCUUCCAUCAAAUUGUAAUGUACACAGUACAUUUUUUUUUAAGACCUUUUUAUGGGCCGUUUUGUUACUGUGUGGAGGUACUUGAUUUGUAUCAUGAUCAAAUAAACUACGAUACAAAAGAUGCA
Cyclopterus lumpus (lumpfish) is the source of this 4438-nucleotide RNA transcript. It is a transcript of the gene named ArfGAP with coiled-coil, ankyrin repeat and PH domains 1, with no coding region annotated. The transcript is spliced from 23 exons. The record is from RefSeq and is a predicted model, not a curated record. NCBI's taxonomy places the organism in Eukaryota, Metazoa, Chordata, Actinopteri, Perciformes, Cyclopteridae.